CGCCCAAGUGGAAAUCCCUCAAGAACAGGAGGCUGCAGAACUGGGGUGCGUAGCGCGCGGUGCCCUAUGGUGUUUGGAGGUGUGGUGCAUGAGAAGGGGCUCCUGCCGCAGGCCUUGCACACAAGCAAGGCCAAGGAAGCUCCGACAGGGCGUUUGACCCACAUGCUCGAAAAAGGAAAUAUGGCAGUGCCUGAUCUCCUACGUUGGGUGUCUCUUAUGCUGAUAUUGUUCCGCUAAGUACAACAUCGUAUUCAGCAUUAGAAUUAUGGAACAUAUUUAAAUGUGAUACCAUGUUAACUAUUAUGAGCUUCUUCCCCAUGAGUAACCGAAGGGGUGUUUGUUUUGAACCCCAUGUUCUUUUUGACUCUUAUCCCGUUGUGUCGGUACUUGUGUUAAAUGGACGAGCAAAUUCUGAUCAUAGAAAGCAUCCUCUUUGCAA
Long non-coding RNA from Phragmites australis (common reed), 439 nucleotides. RefSeq lists it as uncharacterized. The record is from RefSeq and is a predicted model, not a curated record. The transcript has 3 exons. NCBI's taxonomy places the organism in Eukaryota, Viridiplantae, Streptophyta, Magnoliopsida, Poales, Poaceae.